AUGCAAGUCGAACGGUAACAGGUCUUCGGAUGCUGACGAGUGGCGAACGGGUGAGUAAUACAUCGGAACGUGCCCGAGAGUGGGGGAUAACGAAGCGAAAGCUUUGCUAAUACCGCAUACGAUCUCAGGAUGAAAGCAGGGGACCGCAAGGCCUUGCGCUCACGGAGCGGCCGAUGGCAGAUUAGGUAGUUGGUGGGAUAAAAGCUUACCAAGCCGACGAUCUGUAGCUGGUCUGAGAGGACGACCAGCCACACUGGGACUGAGACACGGCCCAGACUCCUACGGGAGGCAGCAGUGGGGAAUUUUGGACAAUGGGCGCAAGCCUGAUCCAGCCAUGCCGCGUGCAGGAUGAAGGCCUUCGGGUUGUAAACUGCUUUUGUACGGAACGAAAAGACUCUGGUUAAUACCUGGGGUCCAUGACGGUACCGUAAGAAUAAGCACCGGCUAACUACGUGCCAGCAGCCGCGGUAAUACGUAGGGUGCGAGCGUUAAUCGGAAUUACUGGGCGUAAAGCGUGCGCAGGCGGUUAUGUAAGACAGAUGUGAAAUCCCCGGGCUCAACCUGGGAACUGCAUUUGUGACUGCGUAGCUAGAGUACGGCAGAGGGGGAUGGAAUUCCGCGUGUAGCAGUGAAAUGCGUAGAUAUGCGGAGGAACACCGAUGGC
RNAcentral lists this ribosomal RNA (664 nucleotides) under uncultured beta proteobacterium. RNAcentral describes it as "bacterial SSU rRNA". It matches the Rfam family "Bacterial small subunit ribosomal RNA", at positions 55 to 716 of the family's 1533-position model. The record is from RNAcentral. Lineage: Bacteria; Pseudomonadati; Pseudomonadota; Betaproteobacteria.